CAUUAGCGUAUAUUAAAGUUGUUGCAGUUAAAAAGCUCGUAGUUGGAUUUCAGUAUGGGCCAGUUGGUCGGCCGCAAGGCCUGUACUGACUGGUCUGUUCUUCUUCUCAAAGACUGCAUGUGCUCUUCGCUGAGUGUGUGUAGGAUUUGGGACGUUUACUUUGAAAAAAUUAGAGUGUUCAAGGCAGGCAUGUUGAGCUUGAAUACAUGAGCAUGGAAUAAUGGAAUAGGACCUCGGUCUCUAUUUCGUUGGUUUUGUAGACCGAAGUAAUGAUUAAGAGGGACAGUUGGGGGCAUCCGUAUUUCGUAGUCAGAGGUGAAAUUCUUGGAUCUGCGAAAGACGAACAACUGCGAAAGCAUUUGCCAAGAGUGUUUUCAUUAA
This 381-nucleotide ribosomal RNA is filed under the name uncultured eukaryote. Its description in RNAcentral is "partial 18S ribosomal RNA". It matches the Rfam family "Eukaryotic small subunit ribosomal RNA", at positions 592 to 976 of the family's 1831-position model. The record is from RNAcentral.